RNAcentral lists this long non-coding RNA (222 nucleotides) under Olea europaea (common olive). RNAcentral describes it as "long non-coding RNA (OEUR_LNC013278)". The record is from RNAcentral. Lineage: Eukaryota; Viridiplantae; Streptophyta; Magnoliopsida; Lamiales; Oleaceae.
AAUUUGCUAAUUAACAGGCUAAUAACUAAUAAUUAACAUCCUAGACAUGAGCUGGAAUAUUCUAAAUUUGCUGUAACAUAUUUCUAACACAUACUGGAGGUACUGGAGGGAAAAACCAUGAUAAAUAGCCUUGCAGAACAAAUCUCUUGAAUCCAUACAUAUGAGCAUCCAUUAGAUCAGCACAAAACAUCACCAGACAUUCCAUUCCCGUUCCAUUUCGUG